This 497-nucleotide ribosomal RNA is filed under the name uncultured bacterium. RNAcentral describes it as "partial 16S ribosomal RNA". It matches the Rfam family "Bacterial small subunit ribosomal RNA", at positions 28 to 507 of the family's 1533-position model. The record is from RNAcentral.
GAUGAACGCUGGCGGCGUGCCUAAUACAUGCAAGUCGAGCGAACAGACGAGGAGCUUGCUCCUCUGACGUUAGCGGCGGACGGGUGAGUAACACGUGGAUAACCUACCUAUAAGACUGGGAUAACUUCGGGAAACCGGAGCUAAUACCGGAUAAUAUAUUGAACCGCAUGGUUCAUUAGUGAAAGACGGUUUUGCUGUCACUUAUAGAUGGAUCCGCGCCGCAUUAGCUAGUUGGUAAGGUAAAGGCUUACCAAGGCAACGAUGCGUAGCCGAACUGAGAGGGUGAUCGGCCACACUGGAACUGAGACACGGUCCAGACUCCUACGGGAGGCAGCAGUAGGGAAUCUUCCGCAAUGGGCGAAAGCCUGACGGAGCAACGCCGCGUGAGUGAUGAAGGUCUUCGGAUCGUAAAACUCUGUUAUUAGGGAAGAACAAAUGUGUAAGUAACUAUGGACGUCUUGACGGUACCGAAUCAGAAAGCCACGGCUAACUACGUG